UAAAACUCGUGCCAGCAACCGCGGCUAUACGGGUGACCCAAGUUGAUCAGCCACCGGCGUAAAGCGUGGAUAGGACAGAACCCCCACUAAAGCCAAACACCUUCUAAAGCUGUCAUACGCAAUCAAAGAUAGGAAGUCCGACCACGAAAGUGGCUUUAUGUAGUCUCAACCCACGAAAGCUAGGGAACAAACGAGGAUCAGAGACCCUCCUAUGCCUAGCCAUAAACAUUGAUGGCCCAGUACACUCACCAUCCGCCCGGGAACUACGAGCAAGUGCUUAAAACCCGAAGGACCUGGCGGUGCUUUAGACCCCCCUAGAGGAGCCUGUUCUGGAACCGAUGCCCCCCGUUCAACCUCACCCCUACUUGUUUAUCC
This 375-nucleotide ribosomal RNA is filed under the name Furcina ishikawae. RNAcentral's name for it is "partial 12S rRNA". It matches the Rfam family "Bacterial small subunit ribosomal RNA", at positions 497 to 990 of the family's 1533-position model. The record is from RNAcentral. Lineage: Eukaryota; Metazoa; Chordata; Actinopteri; Perciformes; Cottidae.